GGUGUGACCUCCCUGACUUCUUCCCUGACUUCUUUCUCGUUUAUGUGGGAUUAAGGGGGCUGUCUUGGUCCCCCGAGAGCUCCCUGUAACUUAGGGUUUUGGUCUCUAGUCAUUAUGUUGCUCUUGCAGGCUGGCCAGAGUGACCAUUCUGUAAUUGGGGCUCAGGUCAUGUCCCUCUCGCUUUUGGGGGGAAUUCAGGUCUUAAUCACGCGGGUCUUUGGGACCUCCCUGUAAUCAGGGUUGUGUCCUUCUUCUUCUCUUUUUGCUCUUGUGGGAUUAUGGCCCUUUAGGAUCAGCAGAGGGAUCUCCACCACAGUUAGGGUGCGAGUCACAUUGGCCCCUUUCAUGCUCCAGGCACAGUCCUGGCCCUCUGGAGUGAGUUUCAAGCUCGCCCUGGGUUCUGCAGCGACACCUCCUGGGUUCUGCCUCUUUUGAUCGUCUGAGUCCAGAGAGUCUGCAACAACUGCUGGCGAGUUCAAGGUUCCGUUCAACCCUUUACCUGUGAGGAAGCUGCUGGCUCCACAGUAGGGCAUCAGUUGAGUCUUUGGCACUUUGGGAGAGUUGGAGGCCUGGGCGUCGAGUGUGCCAUCAAAGCACAUGAUGGGGACAGCUCAGAAUUCCCUGCCAGCUAUAGGUCGAAGGCUACCUCUGGAGGCAAGAAGACAAGCACGUGAGGAAGAAAAUGGGAAGGAGGAAAGAAAAGAUGAUCCAGAAGAUGGAAGAGGAGGAGAAAAUACACACCGGGCACAAUGACUGUCCUGUAACUAGGGUGGAAGUCCCUCUUCUUUGUGGGGUUCGGGGGAGGGGAGAGCGCCAGCCUGAACCCAGUAGUACCUUGGGCAGUGAGACCUCCCUAUAACUAGGGAGCAGGUCUCUUCCCCCUCGGCUCCGUUAGCUGGCUGGGGAGUGGUAAGAAGGGUGCAGAUGACAUCCCUGUGUCUCAGGGAUGUCAUCGAGCUCUUUAAUCCCCAUGGGUAAUGUAGCCUCACUGCAAGUAGAGUUCAGGUCUCCCCUUUUGCUGUGGUGGGUUUAAGAACCGUUGGCAUGCUACUCGGUGACCUCCCUGUAAUCGGGGUCCGGCUCACGUCCCUGUGGUUGGUGGGGUUUAGGGCUCACUUACUAGGCUGGACGCCAGUGACCUGCCUGUAACUUUGGGUUUUGGUCUUUUCCCUUUUGGCUUUCUUGGCACUGUGGUGCUCCAGCAAGGCAGUCAGGAAGACCGCUCGCUUCACAAGAGUUCAGGUCUUGAUUUUCAUUCACACAGAUAUUGAGCCCUUAAGUACCUUGAGACCAAGACUGCCCUGUAAGUGGGAAACCGUGCUGUCUGGCUAGCCUGCCUGGGCGCCCAGUAAGUAGGGUUCUGGUCUCGUUUCUCUCUCCUAUGGCAUGAGCAGGGUGACCUUUUUUUGCCUUUUUAAUACGCUGGGCCCUUAGCCUUUCCCAGUUUGCUCUUUUUCUGCUUUGGGAAGUGCUGUGUCAUCUGGUAUGUCUGUGCUGGAGAGCGAAUGUGGUGUGCAUGGGGUGAAAGGUCUUUGGUUAUUUUAUUUUGUAAAUUGCUGCAGCUUUUGUCUUUUGGUUUGGUUUGAAUGAGCUCUUCCCAGAACUAGAAAAUGCUGUUUGUUUGGUUUUUUUAUGCCCCCCAUUUACCCGUAUAGUGGCACGAUUGACUGUUUGGGUCUCGUGCCUUAACGCUGAAAAAGCGUUUGGGCCCCUUGCUAAGAUCCUCUGUGCAUCACUUCCCUCUCCCUUCUGGGGGAAUGUCGGACUUCCAAGAACCUUAGGUCUGAGGGACCUCCCUGUAACCAAGGUUGAGGUCUCUUGGUAUUGUCCAUUAAGCCAGCCAGUGAGAGUGGCCACCGUGUAAAGAUGAGCCCUGGUCACAUCCCUGUGCCUUGGUGGAAGGGGCGAUUAGAGAUUUCUAAUACCUUUGGGGAUAUGACCUGCCUGUAAUUUGGCUUCAGGUCUCUCUUUUUUUUUUUUUUCUCCCCUUUGGUACGUUAGCCACCUUGUUUUAAGAUUUCCCCGCUCUCUUCUCUUCUCUCCUCCCCCCCC
Caretta caretta (loggerhead turtle) is the source of this 2052-nucleotide non-coding RNA. The record is from RefSeq and is a predicted model, not a curated record. NCBI's taxonomy places the organism in Eukaryota, Metazoa, Chordata, Testudines, Cheloniidae.